This 913-nucleotide ribosomal RNA is filed under the name Allantophomopsis cytisporea. Its description in RNAcentral is "partial large subunit ribosomal RNA". It matches the Rfam family "Eukaryotic large subunit ribosomal RNA", at positions 38 to 968 of the family's 3401-position model. The record is from RNAcentral. Lineage: Eukaryota; Fungi; Ascomycota; Leotiomycetes; Phacidiales; Phacidiaceae.
GCAUAUCAAUAAGCGGAGGAAAAGAAACCAACAGGGAUUGCCUCAGUAACGGCGAGUGAAGCGGCAACAGCUCAAAUUUGAAAUCUGGCUCUUUCAGGGUCCGAGUUGUAAUUUGUAGAGGAUGUUUCGGGUGUGGCUCCGGUCUAAGUUCCUUGGAACAGGACGUCAUAGAGGGUGAGAAUCCCGUAUGUGACUGGUAGCCUAUGCUCAUGUGAAACUCCUUCGACGAGUCGAGUUGUUUGGGAAUGCAGCUCAAAAUGGGUGGUAAAUUUCAUCUAAAGCUAAAUAUUGGCCAGAGACCGAUAGCGCACAAGUAGAGUGAUCGAAAGAUGAAAAGCACUUUGGAAAGAGAGUUAAACAGUACGUGAAAUUGUUGAAAGGGAAGCGCUUGCAACCAGACUUGCAUGUAGCUGAUCAUCCGGUGUUCUCACCGGUGCACUCAGUUGCGUUCAGGCCAGCAUCGGUUUCGACGGUUGGAUAAAGGCCUUGGGAAUGUAGCUUCUUUCGGGGAGUGUUAUAGCCCAGGGUGCAAUGCAGCCUGUUGGGACCGAGGACCGCGCUUCGGCUAGGAUGCUGGCGUAAUGGUUGUAAGCGACCCGUCUUGAAACACGGACCAAGGAGUCUAACAUCUAUGCGAGUGUUUGGGUGUCAAACCCAUACGCGUAAUGAAAGUGAACGGAGGUGAGAACCCUUAAGGGUGCAUCAUCGACCGAUCCUGAUGUCUUCGGAUGGAUUUGAGUAAGAGCAUAGCUGUUGGGACCCGAAAGAUGGUGAACUAUGCCUGAAUAGGGUGAAGCCAGAGGAAACUCUGGUGGAGGCUCGCAGCGGUUCUGACGUGCAAAUCGAUCGUCAAAUUUGGGUAUAGGGGCGAAAGACUAAUCGAACCAUCUAGUAGCUGGUUCCUGCCGAAGUU